Podarcis lilfordi (Lilford's wall lizard) is the source of this 75-nucleotide non-coding RNA. The record is from the annotation of a GenBank genome assembly. NCBI's taxonomy places the organism in Eukaryota, Metazoa, Chordata, Lepidosauria, Squamata, Lacertidae.
UUUGUCCUCUUCAGUUGGUAGAGUGUGAGAUUCUUAAUCUCAGGAUAGUGAGUUCGAGACCCACAUUAGGCAAAA